GAAAUCAGCAUAACUCCAAUUACAAGCAUUCAAGCCGAAACGCAACUUUUGAUGGCCACUUUGCUCUAAAAGUUCUUCAAGCCCAUCAAGGCGAGCGUUUAUUCGAGCGCUCUUUUGCAGUUAGCGCCUGCUCCCAACAUCAGCGGUCCUCGGCCAUCUGAUGAACAAAUGUUUUUGCGUCGUAUAUUCCGCAACUGCUUUCUUGCAGCACCGCAGGUUUUUUUGUGACACCAGUUCGAAUGAAACGUUGCACAUCUCCAUGGUCGGUGCAUUUUGCGAAUGCAACAUAAUUGCUCUCCUGGCCGUUAUUUUUGUCUACGCUGAUGUAUUUCUUGAUAAGGGCGCCAUUUUGUCAGGAGCUCAUUUGGUUAUCACAAACAACAAUGUCAGCAGUAAAUUUCGACACUCAACCUCAUGUGGCGAGUUUUUUUUUUUUCCUCUUGAGACUGCCUGAAUGUAUUGAUCAUGGCAAUCGUUCCACCUGUUAGGUAAAAAUGAAGGCCAGAAUGGAUUUCCAGCCCCGUCGCGUGGCACGAGAAAGUCCAACUCAUUUGACACAGGCAUGGAGCGGGGCAGUCACUGUGAUCUGGAAAGGUUUUCCGAUGCCAGACUGUGUGUGAAAAAACCUUCUUUCCCCCAGAAGAGAAACAGAUCUCUGGACUACCCCGCUGGGACCAGGUUCUGCGAGUCCUCACCAUGGUAACAACGAUGCUCUAUGACAUCACACCAGGACCAGCCCGGUUUUGCAUGGGAAACCAGACUGGGAAACGGAGGACUGGAGUGAGACGAGCUUUUAAAUGGCACUGACCUUUGUUUUAAUUAACGUCAUGAUCUGUUGCCGAGUGUGCAUGGACAAAGUAGUUGUGUGGUUUUUAGUUAAGAGCGGAUGCGCUUGUUAAGGGGCGUUUUCACUGCAC
This is a long non-coding RNA of Hippocampus comes (tiger tail seahorse), 917 nucleotides long. RefSeq lists it as uncharacterized. NCBI's taxonomy places the organism in Eukaryota, Metazoa, Chordata, Actinopteri, Syngnathiformes, Syngnathidae. The transcript is spliced from 3 exons. The record is from RefSeq and is a predicted model, not a curated record.